AGUCACUGACAUUAGAUACCCCUGUAGUCCAGGGUGUAAACGCUGCAGACUUGGUGUUGGGGGCCCUUUGGGGGCAUUCAGUGCCGGAGAGAAGUUGUUAAGUCUGCUACUUGGGGAGUACGUCCGCAAGGAUGAAACUUAAAGGAAUUGGCGGGGGAGCACCGCAACGGGAGGAGCGUGCGGUUUAAUUGGAUUCAACAUCGUAAAACUCACCAGGGAAGACUGUUACAUGAAGGCCGAGAUGAAGACUCUGCUAGAUUUUCAG
RNAcentral lists this ribosomal RNA (265 nucleotides) under uncultured archaeon. RNAcentral describes it as "partial 16S ribosomal RNA". It matches the Rfam family "Archaeal small subunit ribosomal RNA", at positions 718 to 982 of the family's 1478-position model. The record is from RNAcentral.